GGCGGUUCUAUGGUGAUGCACCUCGGAAUCGGGCUCCCUCCUCACUGGUUCCAGGGUGUGUCACUCGAGAACCACC
This is a non-coding RNA of Myotis brandtii (Brandt's bat), 76 nucleotides long. NCBI's taxonomy places the organism in Eukaryota, Metazoa, Chordata, Mammalia, Chiroptera, Vespertilionidae. The record is from Rfam.